UGGAGUAUAGCCAAGUGGAAAGGCAUCGGUUUUUGGUACCGUGAUCAGAGGUUCGAAUCCUUUUACUCCAG
Transfer RNA from Klebsormidium nitens, 71 nucleotides. It matches the Rfam family "tRNA". From Rfam's summary of the family: Transfer RNA (tRNA) molecules are approximately 80 nucleotides in length. Their secondary structure includes four short double-helical elements and three loops (D, anti-codon, and T loops). NCBI's taxonomy places the organism in Eukaryota, Viridiplantae, Streptophyta, Klebsormidiophyceae, Klebsormidiales, Klebsormidiaceae. The record is from Rfam.